Non-coding RNA from Equus caballus (horse), 5789 nucleotides. Lineage: Eukaryota; Metazoa; Chordata; Mammalia; Perissodactyla; Equidae. The record is from RefSeq and is a predicted model, not a curated record.
AGAGGGAGACUCAAACCUCCGUGGGGCUAGAAAUUCAGAGAAUUAGCAGGGAUUGGAGGCCAACGUGAGGACGCUGCAGAGACAGGAAGCCUGAGCUCAGAGUGUGGGCAGAUUCGAAAAAGGAAGGGAGUCGAGAGCCGGGAUGUCGACACAAGUGGGUUCCUGAAUGCCAGUGGGAGGAAGGGUGGCCAAUGAAGGACCGGCUUGGGGUGGAGACUAGAGUCGUUGGACCCGGUUUCCAGAGCAAGGGCAGGGUUUCCAGUGUCCAGCUCCCACAAGGCUGAGACGUGCCCAGUUCCUCUCAAAGUCAGGCCCGGGUCAGGUGGUUUUGGAAUCUUCAGUUGCGAUGAAGGAAAACGAGUGUCCACCUCUGGGCUCCAAGACGGCCUUCAGCCUGGCUUGCAAGUUAACCAGACACGGAGAUUUGUGAGAUACAGAAGAGAGGAAAGCACAGAAGAGAUGGCUACAUGAAAUGGAGGCAGAGAUUGGAGUGAUGGAACCACAAGCCAAGGAACACUGACAGCCACCAGAAGCUGGAAGAGGAAAGGAACAGAAAAUCUCCUAGAGCCUCUGGAGGGAACAUGGUCCUGCUGAUACUUUGAUUUUGGAUUUCUGGUCUCCAGAACCAUCAGAGAAUAACUUUGCCCUGUUUUAAGCCAUGAAAUGUGUGGUAAUUUGUUGUGGCAGACACAAGAAACUAAUGUACUGUCCCCUUUGAGGGCAAGGUGUCCACUCCCCAGUACAGAGAUAGCUCUGUCUCCCCAGCAUUAGCUCCAGAGUCCCUCAGAUCCUGUGAGUCCUGAGGGGACACCUAAAUGCCAGUGGAUGUCACAUGUCCAGCUCCACCCCCUUGACCACUGCUGCAUUCUCCACACUGUUCCUGGCUGGAGCCCAUUGUGUCAUCUUGGUGCAGAAGGACAGUCACUUACACUCUCAUCCCUCCUGCAUUCAGACAAAGGCACCUCCUGUGCAAAAGGGCCUCCCUCACCCCUGGACCCUGGUCCCUGCUGGGAGGACAGGACCGAGGCUGGACACUUUUCCCGGAAACCCUGAUUUUCAGGGUGAGGAGUUGAUUACCAUCACCUCUAAUGGGGAUAGGUUUUGCUGUCUCUCUUUGAGGAUAAUUAUGGCUUUUUAUAUAAUCAUGUUUCAUUUGUUCUUUUGGAUGCCAAAAUCAUCAAAUUUGGUCACAGAUUUGGUCAUAGCAAAAUACCUACCUAACGGUUGUCAGAGCCCCAAAUGUGAAAUUUUCAAAAGAGAACCCUCUCAUUGGGGAUUUAAAGAUAGUGAGGGCUCACCAUUUCUGUAGGUUUUUUGUGGCUUGGAUUAACGUGGAAUUCACAUGGGGGAUGAACAUAUCCAUCCGCCCUGAGAGGCAAGGCUGGCUUCAUGGGCUGUCAAUCUGUGCAGUCACCAUCACUUGAAAAGCCUGUGCUAGUUAUCCUCUGCCAUCUUAAAAUUCCUUUUUUUUUUUUUUUUAAAUUGAGUUCAUAAUAGUUUAUGUCAUUGUGAAAUUUCAGUUGUACAUAUAUCUUGUCUGCCACCACACAAGUACUCCCCUUACCCCCUGUGCCCACCUCCCACGCCCCUUUGAAAUUCUUAAUGAGUUUUGAACAAGGAGCCCUGCUUUUUCAUUUUACAUUGAGUCCUACAAUUGAUGUAGCUGGGUCCGCCCCUGGGAGUGACCAUAUGGUCAUAGGCUCCCUUUGGAAAAAGAAAGGUAUGAUGCCAUCAGGAGCUGCCAUAUGUCCUGUAGUCACCAGAGGUAGCACCAUCGCGGGGUAACCUGGGGGGCUGUGAAUGCAGGCAUGUAGGAGUUUGGCUUUUUCUACCCUAUUUGUGCUCAUAGAUCUCUAACUGCCUUCCGUCCCACUCUGCAACCCUAGCUUACAGAGGGAAUGUUUUCCAACUCUGCUGUACUUCAGAGAUUCAAAUUUUUUGUCUCUACAAUCUAAGGUGGGGGAGGCGGGCAGGGAUCACAGCUAAUUGGCUCAAAUGUGGAAAGCAUUACAUAGACAUAAUAAAGUCCACACUGAAUGUUGGUCUUAGGAAAAUAAUCAAGAGAUGGGAUUGGAAGUGUGUAUGCAUUAUGGUGACAGGGAAGAAAGCAUCUGAGUUCUUAUCUUCCAAGAGGGAAGACCUUAGAUAAUGCCUGAAAGUGGAAAAUCAGUAAGUAGCCUCUAAGCAUGUUUGUCACAGAUGACUUUGUUUCUCUCCUGAGGAGUUGCUGCUGUUUGGGGCAGAUCUCAGUUUAGCCCAAACAGAAGCCAGGACCUUCCUGUGAUCACUCUGAACAGAACACACAAAGACACGGGGCUUAUCAUGACCAAGGCCAGUUUUGUCACAAAUCCAAGAAAGAGAACAUCUAACAGGAGGAAGCCAGAACUGCUUUUGCUUACAGUGUGAAUAUCAGGAAUAGAAUAAUAGUUUCAUUUUUCUGGCUGCAGUGGGCAGUGUGACAAGUGGAAAUCUCCUUGGGGUUGUAGGUCAUUCACAUCAAACAAUAUGCCCCCUCCAGGCAAGCCUUACACAUCUGAUUAAGAUUCAUGCAAGAUGACCAAAGUUGUUGGGUCUUUGUCCGUAUGACAUAUGGGGACUGACAUGUUUUCUAUAUUUUUUUGACAUCAGGAGCAUGGAAUCACAAAAUCAUAACUUUGCUCAUAAUCCAACAUCAUCACCAGUUCAUAAAUGGCCUUUCUUUCAAAAAUUAUUAGAACCAGGGUCUAGUUAUAGCUUCCAGAAAGAACCACAAGGUCAGGAUUGGAAAUCUGGCUCAUAAGGAAGCUCUGUCUUGGAUGAACAAGCAAGGAAAUCAGGACACUGUCACCACAUUGGUUUCAGACAACAGCACCUCUGCUACCACUUGCACCAGCAAAUUCUUCCCACUCUCAGCCACUUGGCACCCAACUCCUGCAUGGUCCUGGGUGCCAAGAGAAGCACAACAUUCUUCUCACAGGAACCACUUCCCUCUUCCACAAUGUGAAUCUGCUGUCAGAAAUCCUGGGAACUGCUGUCUUCAGCUUCUGUCUUUCACAUUUUUCCCAAGGGGGUUGGAAGACACUAAGUUGAUCCAGCAUAUCAAUCCUAGACCUCAUGGGACACAUCUAAUGUAACAUGUCCACAACCAAGACCUUUAUUCCCUCCACCUCCCAAACGGAUUCUCCCAGAGUUUUCCUCUUCUCAGUCAAGAUCAACUCUAUCCUUCUUGGAGCUCAGGUUGGAAAUCUUGGUGGUAUUUUUGAUGCUUCUCUUGCUCUUGCAGUAAUGUCUAAUCCAUCAGCAAACCCUGAAAUCUGUCUACCAGGUUCUUUCCUUAAUCAAGCCUACAUUCUCUCGUUGAUUUGGCCAAGCAUUCUUGGUUUUCCCAAAUUCUCCCCCUAAUUGUUCCUCAAGGAGUUAUUUUUCUCUCAAAAUCUCUACUGUCUGGCCUCUUAAUUUCCCUCAAAUCUUUCAGUUGUUAGUUUUAUACAAUUGUCUCCAGAGUAUUCCUCAAUAACCCAUUUCUUUCCCCCAAAUAUAUUUUUUUUCUCAAAACCACCCUUAACUAAACUCUUAAAGCCCCCAAACUCUUUGUUCAAUUUCCCCUGCAAGUUUUCUCUUAGCCGUCCCCAAUUUCUUUUUGCUUUAACCAAAUUCUUACAAUAAUUUUGCCCCAAUCUUUAUUUCUCCUCAAAAUUCCUCUUUUGCUCCCAACCUCUUACUUUAAUUUUCCCUAAAUCCAUUCCUUGAUUUUACCCAAUUCUUCCUAAAUUCUCUCCAUGAAUAUCACAAAUUCUCCCUUAAUUUUCCCCAGUUCCUCCCUUGGAACUCCCAAAUUCACAGCUUGGUUCCUGCUCCACCAUCCUCCAUCAUCCCUUUGAGUUUCCAUUAAUAUGCCUAACUCUCCCCCGAGUUUCCCUCACCCGUGUCCUUCGGUCUCCUCCCUCGGACCUGAAAGCCCAGUUUCUCCGCAAUCCCACAAACACUCUUCCCUUGCCGGUUCCACUCGCCCGCCCAACGACUCCCUGCGCCCCAAGUCAACACCUUUCCUCUGAUUGGCUGGGAGGCCGUCUUUGGAAAGCAGUCCCUGCUUCCCCAUUGGUUCCUCUCUGCCAAGUCCCCGCCCCACUCCUCUCUCCCCCCCCCUCUGUCUCUCUCUGUCUCUCUCUCUCUGUCUCUGUCUCUGUCUCUGUCUGUCUCUCUCUCUCUCUCUCUCUUUCUCUCUCUCUCUCUCUCUCUGGAAUUUACCGACCGGCACCGCUACUUCUCGGCCCCUAAGGGCCACACGUCUACACUCCCACCGUGAGGCCCACCGGAACUUAUCUCGCUCCCUCUUGCUUCCUGCUCCCUGGGCGCCAUGAGAAGCUCUGACAGCAGAGGCAGCAGAGCGGACUUCAGUUUUGGGGACCCUGUGAACUCCGGUCACCUGCCGCCCCGGGCGCCGCCAUCUUGCUAGGAUUAUGUAACCGGAAGGGGCUGGUCUUCUUCCACCUGCCCGGUUCAGGCAGUGACGUCUUUUCUUAUGGCCACGCCCCCUCCUGCUUUCCAAGCCUCUCCUUAAAGGCGCCCGCACUUUUUAUUCUUACGGAUUGCUGGGAGCGCCCUCUCAAUAGGCUUUAAAAUAGGGCUUCGCAGCCUUUCCUUGGGACAUGGUGGGCGGUACUGCCUGUUAGAAGACCUUCCUUCCCUCAGAGUGUUCACAGUCCCCCUGAGUUUCCCUGUUGCUUCAGCUGUCCUGUCUCCCUGCUUAAAAUGGGGAGGGAGGUGACAGAAUCUGACUGCGUCAUUCUCUAAGCCAGGGUGAGGGAAGGGAAAGAUGGAGGGCGUUGGAGAAGUUAAGACUUCAGGAUAAGAGACAGACGUGAGAUCUCAAGACUAGUAAUGUGAUUUCAAUUUGGAGUUCAAGUCUAUAUCUCACUGUGAAGUUUCAAUGUGAAGUCUUCUGGAUAGGAUUAUUCAUUCAUUCAUUCUGAUGCGGGGUAUUUACUGAGCACCUACCACAUGGGAGGAGCUUCUGGGUGCUGAAGUUACCAUGGUGAACAGGACAGACCAAGUCCCUCUCUGAGGAAAUCAACAUUCUAAGCAGGGAGAGGAUGGGGGAAUCUCUGCCAAGUGGACAUCUGGCUGCUGGGCCAGCUGUGCAGCCUGGGGCUGGAGAUGGGGGCACUGCAGGAGGAAGUGGUUGCCUUCCUGGAAGAAGAGGAGAAAGAGCAUCGAGGAAGAGGAGGAGGCCGAAGAUCCCAAAGGAAAGCAGGAGGAAGGACACAUGGGGAUCUCCUACCUUGGUCUUUCCCACUGCCUCCUCAAGUUUGAGAUGACUAUCUGAGGCUCUGCCAGCGUGCUUCUAAUUGAGAUGGGAAUGAGAUGCAAAUUUAUGCAAAGAAGAGGGGAUGUGCAGGUCAAAUCAAGUGUAAAUGUUGAUUUGGAGUCCACAUGUGUUCCUUGAACAAGUACUUUCUCUGAAGAUGUCUGAGAUGAGACUGAGGGGUUGGCCUGUGAGCUGUGGGCAUGUUUGUGGGUGAUCAGGGAGGUUUGUAGAGAAACUCUAGGUGUAUUUGCAGAGGAGCCGCAGGUGUGUUGCAGAGGAGACGUGGGUCUCUGCAAAUAUGGUGGAGAUGUGGGCAGAGGCUGUUGUGCACCUGAGACGUGGCUAGCCCUAUUGAGAUGCUCCGUAUGUGUGACAUAUACACCGAAUUUCAAAGGCUUGGUAUGCUAAAGAGAUUAUCAAACAUUUCAACAAUCUUAAAAAUUAAUAACAUAUUGAAAUGAUAAAUAUUUUGACUAUAUCGGGAUAAAUAAAAAUAUUACUA